This is a non-coding RNA of Musa acuminata subsp. malaccensis (wild Malaysian banana), 634 nucleotides long. NCBI's taxonomy places the organism in Eukaryota, Viridiplantae, Streptophyta, Magnoliopsida, Zingiberales, Musaceae. The record is from RefSeq and is a predicted model, not a curated record.
AUCUGCAACUCAAGCCUAACAUUUUUGUUUGGGAGGAGUUGGAUUUGAAUUCGUUGUUGUGCUGCCUGGGAGGGGAAUCGGUCAGCCUUCUGCUACCAACAAAACCUUGGGAGAGGACCGCCCACCGGUCGCCAUGCCAUGUAAGCACCUAAAUGGUGGGAUUUCUUCUUCCACACAUUCUAGACUCUCGAGGAUAAGGUUUCACGCUUACCACCACACUGAACUUAAGCAACUGAUCUCCUCUCUUUGGUAAAAGAGAGGGAUGGUGAGGUCUCUCAUGGCGGCAAAGACUGAUCCACUACCUCCUUAAAAGCGGAGCCUCUCAUGCAUGCCUUGUGAAGGCCAUGUGACUAAACAAAGACUUAUCACUCUAAUGAUAUGGCCGAAGAAGAUCUUCAAGAGCUAAAGAUGAGUUCAAUGGGGAUAAUUAUGGUAGCCAUUUCCAUAUCCCUUGCAUGGCUGACACCCUCCUGUCACUCAGCUUUUUCAGAUGGUGUACCAUUUGUGUUUUUUGACAACAACUCUCUGGUACGAAAGAGAGAUUGGAAUCUUAUGGAUGUACUAGUGUUACUGUAGUUUUGUGUUGUCAUCAUCUGGGAGAGGAGCAAAUUGGAUCUUUGAGGUGGUGGGUCCA